Carya illinoinensis is the source of this 331-nucleotide long non-coding RNA. RefSeq lists it as uncharacterized. The record is from RefSeq and is a predicted model, not a curated record. NCBI's taxonomy places the organism in Eukaryota, Viridiplantae, Streptophyta, Magnoliopsida, Fagales, Juglandaceae. The transcript has 2 exons.
AUGCCCAACUCCAUAAGCACAAUGUGUCAUUUAAGAAUAAUGGCAAUAAGGAUUCUUGUUUUUUCUGUAGAAAGAAAUGGCAUAUGAAGAAAGAUUGCCAAAAGUUUAAGAGAUGGCUCGAAAAGAAAGGAAUUUCUCAAAACAAGGAAGCCGAAACCAAGUGAACAAUAUGUCUAUUCAAGAAAUAAGAUGCUUUCAGAAGUGCAGGCUGUUGGGAUCUUUAGAUUAUUUUUAAAAAUUGGUCUUGUUUUAGACCUUGAAAAUGUAUUUUUUAUUCCUAAUUUUCUAAAAUUUUGGAUUUAGUUUUAAAGUUGAUUGAGAUUGACUUUAA